This 459-nucleotide ribosomal RNA is filed under the name uncultured bacterium. RNAcentral describes it as "partial 16S ribosomal RNA". It matches the Rfam family "Bacterial small subunit ribosomal RNA", at positions 338 to 795 of the family's 1533-position model. The record is from RNAcentral.
CCUACGGGGGGCAGCAGUGAGGAAUAUUGGUCAAUGGGCGCGAGCCUGAACCAGCCAAGUAGCGUGAAGGAUGACUGCCCUACGGGUUGUAAACUUCUUUUGUCGGGGAACAAAGGCGGAGACGCGUCUCCGGAUGAGUGUACCCGAAGAAAAAGCAUCGGCUAACUCCGUGCCAGCAGCCGCGGUAAUACGGAGGAUGCGAGCGUUAUCCGGAUUUAUUGGGUUUAAGGGGUGCGCAGGCGGGAGAUCAAGUCAGCGGUAAAAUGUCGGGGCUCAACCCCGGCCGGCCGUUGAAACUGGUUUUCUAGAGUUGGAGAGAAGUAUGCGGAAUUCGUGGUGUAGCGGUGAAAUGCAUAGAUAUCACGAAGAACUCCGAUUGCGAAGGCAGCAUACCGGCUCCAUACUGACGCUGAGGCACGAAAGCGUGGGGAUCGAACAGGAUUAGAUACCCGAGUAGUC